GACGAACGCUGGCGGCGUGCUUAACACAUGCAAGUCGAACGGAAAGGCCCUGCUUUUGUGGGGUGCUCGAGUGGCGAACGGGUGAGUAACACGUGAGUAACCUGCCCUUGACUUUGGGAUAACUUCAGGAAACUGGGGCUAAUACCGGAUAGGAGCUCCUGCUGCAUGGUGGGGGUUGGAAAGUUUCGGCGGUUGGGGAUGGACUCGCGGCUUAUCAGCUUGUUGGUGGGGUAGUGGCUUACCAAGGCUUUGACGGGUAGCCGGCCUGAGAGGGUGACCGGCCACAUUGGGACUGAGAUACGGCCCAGACUCCUACGGGAGGCAGAAGUGGGGAAUAUUGCACAAUGGGCGGAAGCCUGAUGCAGCAACGCCGCGUGCGGGAUGACGGCCUUCGGGUAGUAAACCGCUUUCGCCUGUGACGAAGCGUGAGUGACGGUAAUGGGUAAAGAAGCACCGGCUAACUACGUG
RNAcentral lists this ribosomal RNA (468 nucleotides) under uncultured bacterium. RNAcentral describes it as "partial 16S ribosomal RNA". It matches the Rfam family "Bacterial small subunit ribosomal RNA", at positions 28 to 507 of the family's 1533-position model. The record is from RNAcentral.